RNAcentral lists this unclassified non-coding RNA (290 nucleotides) under Hevea brasiliensis (rubber tree). The record is from RNAcentral. Lineage: Eukaryota; Viridiplantae; Streptophyta; Magnoliopsida; Malpighiales; Euphorbiaceae.
GGCCUUCGACAGUACUUGGGAGGUAAUUUCUGUUGAUCAUUCUCCUGGUCUCCAUGACAAAAAUUUGAAGAGGAGCAUAUUCCAUUUUGUUGCAGUAUCCCUUAAUACUGAAAAAUUGGGAAAUCAUGACUUAUUUACCCAAUCAAACUUAGAUUCUGAGUUGGACUUAUUUUGAUAAAUCUACUAGUAUUAUCCGUUACUGCUUCGCUCAAAUUGUAAAAAUUACAAGAUGUCAACUUGUAGUAUCUGUUGCUUACUACUACUAUUCCAACUUAACCAUUACACUUCUU